Long non-coding RNA from Thunnus maccoyii (southern bluefin tuna), 3009 nucleotides. RefSeq lists it as uncharacterized. The record is from RefSeq and is a predicted model, not a curated record. The transcript has 6 exons. NCBI's taxonomy places the organism in Eukaryota, Metazoa, Chordata, Actinopteri, Scombriformes, Scombridae.
UUAAACGUUGAUUGUGAUUGGAUGCUAGCUGUGAGUGUGGAGUGUUACACCAGUAGUUGGUGUAUGGAGAACAAUGUAGUAGAAAAACGCUGCCUUGCAGACCAAUGUCAGUGAACAGGCAAUUGUGUCCCCAUCUGAAGUUGACACUGUCAGUGACUCUAAAUUGGAGGAGUCACUGAUCACCCGUGAGGCAGUAACAAUUAUCCUGGAUAUGACCACUAAAGUGUUGUUGGGGAGGCCCUCUGAGUCCACCACUUCAAGAGAAGGUCUGUAGUGCACUAGAUGAAUGCAAGCCGUCUGAUGAACACCUGGUGCCUAUCUUUGGAGAAACACUCACCUGACAAAACCUGUAGACUCUAGGACUUCAGAAAGACAUGGAAGGCAUGGACCUCAAAGUGUGGAGCGCAACGAGUUUCAAAACUGUUUUUUGGUUACCACCUACAUCACAGAACCCUUUGUCUGAUUGUCCAUAUAUUAAGGACAACUGGUUGACAUUCCUGAGUGGUGUGAAAGGGCUGAAAUUGAUCACUCUGAAUUAGAAGGACUGGCAAAGAAUAUUGAUGGCAACCAGGGAGGGGGAUCCAGAGGCCCUGGAAUUCGUCCUUUAUUCCUUCGAUUUGCAGGAGGACAUGGAGUUCUUCAUGAAGGUAUACACUGAUACUGAUGGCUACCUUGUGAUUGACAAGUCACUACCAAGGCGAUAUCGCUGAUUACGAAACAGAACCAUAGCGUAACCACAGAUUCACAGAGUAUAGGCAUAGCUAUUUCACAGUAUAUUUUCAGUUCAUGAAAGUUAAUUGUAACAUUUUGCUCACCUAAAAAAAUCUUGUUCAGCAUUUGGUUGUUCAGUUUUUGUGGUAAGUACAUUUAGUUUAAAUGGACGAAUGGACCACCACCUCCACAUCAGCCCCCUCAAUGGUUGUGAGAAUGGCACAGACCUACAAAAGUCCACCACCAUGUCCUUGGUCUUGGGUGUAUUCAACUGCUGCUGGUUUGACAGGGACCAUGAUGGCUGGACAGAAAGUAGCUGCUAAAGCUGGAACAGGGCAGUUGAACUGGUUAUAGAAGAGGUUGAACUCAUUCGCUCUCUCCACAUUACCAUCUGUUAUACCACCAUUCCUCUGCUUGCAGGACAUGAUUGUCUUCAUACCAUCCUAGAUCUCCCUCAUGUUAUUCUCCUGCAACUUUUGCUCCACCUUCCUCCUGUAGGACUCCUCAGCCUCUUGUAAGCAGAACUUGAGUUCCCUCUGUAUGCCCCUCAGCUCCACCUGGUCCUUGUCUUUGAAGGCCCUCUUCUUUUUCUUGAGGAGGUCCUUUACAUCACUGGUUAUCCUGGGCUUGUUGUUAGCAAAGCUGCACACAGUUUUCACAGGAAUAACAAUGUCCAUGCAAAAGUUCAGGUAGUCUGUCAUGCAGUGUGAUCAGUACAGUGUGUCUCCAUGUGUUUCCUGCAGCACACUCCAGUCAGUGGACUCAAAGCAAUCCCUAAGAGUCUCUUCAGCUUCAGGAGACCAUUUCCUGAAGGAGUGUGAUGUUAUGAGUUGCCUUUUAGGCUUGUAUUGAGGCCUUAGGUAGACCAUGUUGUGGUCAGAUUUGGCACCGUAUGCAUCCCUUACAUUGGCAUGCAGAAGGUCAAUUGUCCUUUUUUUCUGGUGGGGAAGUCUACAUAAUGAUAAAACACAGUGAGUGGUGAAUCCAUGGUAACAUGAUUAAAAUCACCUGAUAUGGCAAUGAAGGCCUCCGAGUGUUGCAUUUGCAGCCUCGCAAUGGUUGUAUGGCUUCACAUGCCGUCCCUGCUUCCACCCCUGGACGAAUGUAAACACAAACAGCAAUUGUGUGCAAGAACUCCCUGGGCAUGUAGCAUGGUCAGAGACUUACCACCAGCAGUUCAAUAUCCUGACAGCAGAUCAUCUCCUUAACUGUCACAUGCCCUAGGUUAAACCAUCUGAUGUUUAUGAGUAGUGCAAGUCCCCCACCUUCUCUUUUGCCACAUAGUUUAGCGUCCCUGUCAGCUCUCACGGUGGUGAGUCUGAGUCUUGGAAUGUCCACGUUAGCAUCAGAAGUGUUGCCGGUUAGUCAUGUUUCUGUGAGACAUAGUAGACUGCACUCCCCGUUGGUCGUCUGAUUUUUAACCAGAGCUGCUAGUUUGUCGGCUUUGUUUGCCAGCGAGUUUACAUUCCCCAUCACCACAGAGGGAAUAGAUGGCUUAUAUCUCCUGCAUUUCUCUAUUUGCCAAGCCUUUAGCACCGGCUCUACAUCCCCUGUACCCGCUCCUCAGGAUUAGGUUGCACUAUGCCAACGUGAACCUUUCAUUGAAGUGCUAGUGGCUCUUCCCUAAACAAAGUUAAUGCCACUCGCUUGCAUAAAAAAACCCACCAUAUCCAUAGGAUAUACAGAAUACACAGUAAACAUGCAGUAGAGAAACAGGAAGAGUAAGAAGAAUCAAAAAGAGCAGCAAAACACUGCAACACAGACAGAGCUACUGGGUAGGCUGCCUAUUCAUGUCGCUGCUGGAAGCUGUUCUCCUGUGUACUCCACUAAAAUAAAUACGAUUGGCCAGUCAAAGUGAAAUGAGUUACAAUUGUCUUCUUAAUAGUCCACGUGAUAAUACGUCAUUUCUCUUAGUUUUUCCAUACAGUCUGCGGUUAAAGUCAUCCUCAUACAUGUAAACAAACUGACGUGCACAGGUGAAUAUGCAGGGUGUUUUGGUUAGUCAGCAAGCUGCAGUAUGUGGUCCCCUACACAGUUAACCAUAAUGGCUACUACAAGCGGCUAGUUUCUGUGUUUACUUUAGUUCAGACUCAGAAACAAAGUUCUUAAGCAAUUCAUGUAAAAAUCAUGUUUGUUUGGAAAGAUGUCGAUAUAAUUAUGUGAUAAAUGUCUUUUUGUGAAUUGCCAGAAUCUCUGUAACGGAGCUGGAGAGUGCAAAAUUAGUAUAACACAUAGAGCCACAAUGGCCAUAUUUAUGGGAAAUACAUCAGGUUAAAAUAAACCGGAAUUUUCCUUUAA